Molecule: small nuclear RNA, 111 nt
Organism: Acanthamoeba castellanii str. Neff
Lineage: Eukaryota; Discosea; Longamoebia; Acanthamoebidae
Source: Rfam
GGACCUCCCGAAAGGGAGGCUCCAUCUGUUAAAAUUGGAACGAUACAGAGAAGAUUAGCAUGGCCCCUGCGCAAGGAUGACACGCAAAAUCGAGAAGAUACCCAACUUUUU